This 497-nucleotide ribosomal RNA is filed under the name uncultured bacterium. Its description in RNAcentral is "partial 16S ribosomal RNA". It matches the Rfam family "Bacterial small subunit ribosomal RNA", at positions 28 to 507 of the family's 1533-position model. The record is from RNAcentral.
GAUGAACGCUGGCGGCGUGCCUAAUACAUGCAAGUCGAGCGAACAGACGAGGAGCUUGCUCCUCUGACGUUAGCGGCGGACGGGUGAGUAACACGUGGAUAACCUACCUAUAAGACUGGGAUAACUUCGGGAAACCGGAGCUAAUACCGGAUAAUAUAUUGAACCGCAUGGUUCAAUAGUGAAAGACGGUUUUGCUGUCACUUAUAGAUGGAUCCGCGCCGCAUUAGCUAGUUGGUAAGGUAACGGCUUACCAAGGCAACGAUGCGUAGCCGACCUGAGAGGGUGAUCGACCACACUGGAACUGAGACACGGUCCAGACUCCUACGGGAGGCAGCAGUAGGGAAUCUUCCGCAAAGGGCGAAAGCCUGACGGGGCAACGCCGCGUGAAUGAUGAAGGUCUUCGGAUCGUAAAACUCUGUUAUUAGGGAAGAACAAAUGUGUAAGUAACUAUGCACGUCUUGACGGUACCUAAUCAGAAAGCCACGGCUAACUACGUG